Transfer RNA from Ovis aries (sheep), 72 nucleotides. It matches the Rfam family "tRNA". From Rfam's summary of the family: Transfer RNA (tRNA) molecules are approximately 80 nucleotides in length. Their secondary structure includes four short double-helical elements and three loops (D, anti-codon, and T loops). NCBI's taxonomy places the organism in Eukaryota, Metazoa, Chordata, Mammalia, Artiodactyla, Bovidae. The record is from Rfam.
UCCCUGGUGGCUCAGAGGUUAAAGCGUCUGCCUGCAAUGCAGGAGACCCGGGUUUGAUCCCUGGGUUGGGAA